GUAAGACUAUCUUUUGUUUUUCCUCUCUUUUACUUUGAUGAUUGUUAUGUUAUGAAGCUUUCCUUGUAUAAAGCUCAAUUUCUCCAUGACCACGGAAGUAAACAUCCUGAUGCAUUCUUGUCAUGUGAAUGUUGAGAGCGUGUUCAUUUUUGAAAUCUCCUUUCUGACAGACAUAUUCUACAGGAUCAGCUGAGAUGUUAUUUCACUGGAUUAUUUAAUGGAUAGGCUUAUUGGGCAUAUAUUUGGAUAUCUCUGUCAUCAACAUGGAAUGUAUGACUUCAUCUUUAUACAGUCGGGUUCGGGUUCGGCGGCCAUGGCGAAUCUCGGCAAGAUUUUACCCCAGUGAAAAAGGCUUGUAAUCCACAGUUCCUCAACCUGGAAGAUAUGUUUUGUUCCUAACCAUCUAUAAUCCAUUCUCUAUGAAGUGAAGCCUGGCUGCUGGUCUUCCUUUGGAAAUACACAGUUUGUCAAUCAAUAUAGAAACACACAAACUUGAAGGAUAUUCUAGUGAGGGCUUAUGGAAAUGAUCUAUGUCUACUCUCAGAAUGGUGAAAGACUAUCAGAUUAUGCAAAGACUAACAGGAUAUCCUCUCUUGGAACACUGAAACAAGAAAAUCAAACAGGAGGUGGAUGGAGGAUUUAAGAAGCAUGGUGAAAGACUAUCAGAUUAUGCAAAGACUAACAGAAUAUCCUCUCUUAAAACACUGAAACAAGAAAAUCAAACAGGAUGGAGGAUUUAAGAAGCACAUAGAUAAAUAUGAUUUCCAACCAAUUUAAGUACGGUCAUAGACUGUGGUUUACAGGAUGACAAAGAAAGGACCCAGGAUUGUAUCUUUUACUGUCAGACACUGACUAUGGAUAAUGUGUAAUUAUUUAUCAGACUGAGAUCUAGUCAAAUCAAGUAUUGAAAAUAUGAUUUUCUG
Long non-coding RNA from Saccostrea cuccullata (small rock oyster), 923 nucleotides. RefSeq lists it as uncharacterized. The transcript has 5 exons. The record is from RefSeq and is a predicted model, not a curated record. Lineage: Eukaryota; Metazoa; Mollusca; Bivalvia; Ostreida; Ostreidae.